GUUACAACAUAACCAUUCCCAUAUAUGCCUUUUAAAAAGAAAAAAGGAACCAAAACUAAAUUGAAUAUUACACUCAUAAAAGAUGUCCCAUAUGAAUGUAACACAUGACGGGUGUAGCAGAUACGUCCAGGUCUGUUGGGAUGGGACGCGAUUCUGGUGGGUGCUGGCUGCUGGAUCUCGUUGCCAGGGGGCUGAUGUGGGCGGUGAUGGCUGCUGGCGUGACUGUUCUGGCUGGCCUAGUGGUACUGAGAGGUGAUGGCAGGUGGGGUGCGGCGUUGCUGAGGUACUGAUGGAAGCAACACAGAAAUUGGUCUAGGGUGGAGAGGUUGUUUUGAAAGUGGGUUAGGGAUGGGAUGAUUUUUUUUUUUUUUUUUUUUUGUAAAAUGAAAAUUAUAAAAAUAUCCUAUUACUAAACCACUAUUGUAACUAAAACAUGAGAGUCAAUUUUG
RNAcentral lists this long non-coding RNA (449 nucleotides) under Lupinus angustifolius (narrow-leaved blue lupine). RNAcentral describes it as "long non-coding RNA (LANG_LNC001890)". Lineage: Eukaryota; Viridiplantae; Streptophyta; Magnoliopsida; Fabales; Fabaceae. The record is from RNAcentral.